CCUACGGGCGGCAGCAGUGAGGAAUAUUGGUCAAUGGACGAGAGUCUGAACCAGCCAAGUAGCGUGAAGGAUGACUGCCCUAUGGGUUGUAAACUUCUUUUAUAUGGGAAUAAAAUGUUCCACGUGUGGGAUUUUGUAUGUACCAUAUGAAUAAGGAUCGGCUAACUCCGUGCCAUCAGCCGCGGUAAUACGGAGGAUCCGAGCAUUAACCGGAUUUAUUGGGUUUAAAGGGAGCGUAGGUGGCUUGUUGAGUCAGUUGUGAAAGUUUGCGGCGCAACCGUAAAAUUGCAGUUGAAACUGGCAGUCUUGAGUACAGUAGAGGUGGGCGGAAUGCGUGGUGUAGCGGUGAAAUGCUUAGAUAUCACGAAGAACUCCGAUUGCGAAGGCAGCUCACUGGACUGCAACUGACACUGAGGCUCGAAAGUGUGGGUAUCAAACAGGAUUAGAUACCCGUGUAGUC
This 460-nucleotide ribosomal RNA is filed under the name uncultured bacterium. RNAcentral's name for it is "partial 16S ribosomal RNA". It matches the Rfam family "Bacterial small subunit ribosomal RNA", at positions 338 to 795 of the family's 1533-position model. The record is from RNAcentral.